GACGAACGCUGGCGGCGUGCCUAAUACAUGCAAGUAGAACGCUGAAGGAGGAGCUUGCUUCUCCGGAUGAGUUGCGAACGGGUGAGUAACGCGUAGGUAACCUGCCUGGUAGCGGGGGAUAACUAUUGGAAACGAUAGCUAAUACCGCAUAAGAGUAGAUGUCGCAUGACAUUUGCUUAAAAGGUGCAAUUGCAUCACUACCAGAUGGACCUGCGUUGUAUUAGCUAGUUGGUGAGGUAACGGCUCACCAAGGCAACGAUACAUAGCCGACCUGAGAGGGUGAUCGGCCACACUGGGACUGAGACACGGCCCAGACUCCUACGGGAGGCAGCAGUAGGGAAUCUUCGGCAAUGGACGGAAGUCUGACCGAGCAAACGCCCGGCGUGAAGUGAAAGAAAGGUUUUUCGGGAUUCGUAAAAGCUUCUGUUGUAA
RNAcentral lists this ribosomal RNA (432 nucleotides) under Streptococcus mitis. RNAcentral describes it as "bacterial SSU rRNA". It matches the Rfam family "Bacterial small subunit ribosomal RNA", at positions 28 to 441 of the family's 1533-position model. The record is from RNAcentral. Lineage: Bacteria; Bacillati; Bacillota; Bacilli; Lactobacillales; Streptococcaceae.